Molecule: transfer RNA, 65 nt
Filed under: Schoutedenia ralumensis
Lineage: Eukaryota; Metazoa; Arthropoda; Insecta; Hemiptera; Aphididae
Description: tRNA-Val
Source: RNAcentral
AAAUAAAUAUCUAAAUUUUUAAGUAUAUCAUUUACAGUGAUAAGAUGUUUUUUAAACUUUAUUUA